Molecule: long non-coding RNA, 123 nt
Organism: Sapajus apella (tufted capuchin)
Lineage: Eukaryota; Metazoa; Chordata; Mammalia; Primates; Cebidae
Exons: 2
Source: RefSeq, a predicted model, not a curated record
GGCCAGGCACGGCGGCUCACGCCUGUAAUUCCAGCACUUUGGGAUGCCCAGGCGGGCAGAUUGUGAGGUCAAGAGAUCGAGACCAUCCUGGUCAACAUGGUGAAACCCCGUCUCCACUAAAAA